This is a long non-coding RNA of Oxyura jamaicensis (ruddy duck), 840 nucleotides long. RefSeq lists it as uncharacterized. Lineage: Eukaryota; Metazoa; Chordata; Aves; Anseriformes; Anatidae. The transcript is spliced from 3 exons. The record is from RefSeq and is a predicted model, not a curated record.
CAGCUCAGAUGCUGGUGCCAGGGGCUGUCGCGCGAUGUCCCCCCGUGCCACAGCCCUGAGCUGCUCCUCGAGUUAAUUUGUAAAACCGAUUCCUUGCCAGGAGCUCAAGUCCUCCAUAGAGACAUUCAAGAGGGUAUCUCCCAGAGGACAGCUCCACGCCACUCAGAGCAGCUCUCUGGUUACUUAAGUGCCCGUGUAGACAAUGGCUGCUGGGGCUUCUUGCACAGUCAUUUUCCAUCUGACCUUGAACCACUGGAGAAGCAAUAAACGUCCGUAAGAGGAAGGGUAACGCGGCGCGGCCGUAACGUUCAUAAAGCAACUUGCUGCUCGAGUGUCAAACGAGCCCCGGUGAAAUUGCGUGAGCGAGAAGCGUCAGGCCCGGACCCCACCGCAGGAGGAGAAUAAGCACAAAAACAUGUUGCUUGAGACGUCCGUGGCAGAGCCGGCACAUGAUGCUCUGAGGCCAUUUGGCACCGGCGAGCAUUGUUUUAUUGAGUGCAAUUACAUAUUUUUGUUUAGAGAAAGAUUCUCCUUCAAAAGCAGCUCCGAAGCCUUUGCUUAUUCAGCCUUCAUAAAAAGCCUCUCGCUGCAGACACAGUCAAGUGUUGACUCCUGUACUCAUUUUCUAUUGCUGCCUUAUCUUUGGCAUCUCAUCUGCAACUUUUACUGUUUUUUUCCACUGGUUUCAUCAGAGUGCAGUAGAAGUGGAUGUUUUUUGGGCUUCAAUUCUGCUAAUGAUUUUUGAUCUGCUCGGCGCAGGCUAGGAAAAUCUAGCCGUGAUUAUAAAAUUGCAAGCUAAGUAGGCUAACAAAACAGCAACAGCAAGAAACUGGAUCAGCU